This 69-nucleotide transfer RNA is filed under the name Ictidomys tridecemlineatus (thirteen-lined ground squirrel). Its description in RNAcentral is "Spermophilus tridecemlineatus (thirteen-lined ground squirrel) tRNA". It matches the Rfam family "tRNA". Rfam says of the family: Transfer RNA (tRNA) molecules are approximately 80 nucleotides in length. Their secondary structure includes four short double-helical elements and three loops (D, anti-codon, and T loops). Further hydrogen bonds mediate the characteristic L-shaped molecular structure. tRNAs have two regions of fundamental functional importance: the anti-codon, which is responsible for specific mRNA codon recognition, and the 3' end, to which the tRNAs corresponding amino acid is attached (by aminoacyl-tRNA synthetases). tRNAs cope with the degeneracy of the genetic code in two manners: having more than one tRNA (with a specific anti-codon) for a particular amino acid; and 'wobble' base-pairing, i.e. permitting non-standard base-pairing at the 3rd anti-codon position. Lineage: Eukaryota; Metazoa; Chordata; Mammalia; Rodentia; Sciuridae. The record is from Rfam by way of RNAcentral.
GGGCUUGUGGUUCAGUGGUAGAGCCCUCACCUCACAUGUGUGGGACCCUGGGUUCGAUCCUCAGCACCA